This 253-nucleotide ribosomal RNA is filed under the name uncultured bacterium. RNAcentral describes it as "partial 16S ribosomal RNA". It matches the Rfam family "Bacterial small subunit ribosomal RNA", at positions 524 to 776 of the family's 1533-position model. The record is from RNAcentral.
UACAGAGGUCUCAAGCGUUGUUCGGAUUCAUUGGGCGUAAAGGGAGCGUAGGUGGGUUGGUAAGUCAGUGGUGAAAUCCCCGAGCUUAACUUGGGAACUGCCAUUGAUACUAUCAGUCUUGAAUACUGUGGAGGUUAGCGGAAUAUGUCAUGUAGCGGUGAAAUGCUUAGAUAUGACAUAGAACACCAAUUGCGAAGGCAGCUGGCUACACAAUUAUUGACACUGAGGCUCGAAAGCGUGGGGAUCAAACAGG